This 2890-nucleotide ribosomal RNA is filed under the name Gabonibacter chumensis. RNAcentral describes it as "23S ribosomal RNA". It matches the Rfam family "Bacterial large subunit ribosomal RNA". Lineage: Bacteria; Pseudomonadati; Bacteroidota; Bacteroidia; Bacteroidales; Porphyromonadaceae. The record is from RNAcentral.
ACAGAGUAAAUUAAGGGCGCGCGGUGGAUGCCUAGGCUCUCGGAGGCGAAGAAGGACGUGACAAGCUGCGAUAAGCCCCGGGUAGGUGCAAAUGACCAUAGAUCCGGGGAUUUCCGAAUGGGGCAACCCGGCACGCGGGACGCGUGUCAUGCUAUAUAUAGCAGGCGAACGCGGGGAACUGAAACAUCUCAUUACCCGCAGGAAAAGAAAACAACAGUGAUACCCCCAGUAGCGGCGAGCGAACGGGGCGUAGCCCAAACCGUUGGCGUCGAGGCGCCAGCGGGGUUAUAGGACCGUGUAAUGUCAUGGAGAGGAAGACGCAGAAGUCGCUGGAAAGCGACGCCGUGGAUGGUGAAAGCCCAGUACGCUAAAUACCUUCCCGUGAUAACGGUAUCCUGAGUAAGGCGGGACACGAGUAAUCCUGCCUGAAUUCACCGGGCCCACCCGGUAAGGCUAAACACUCCCGAGAGACCGAUAGUGAACCAGUACCGCGAGGGAAAGGUGAAAAGCACCCCGAGCAGGGGAGUGAAAUAGACCCUGAACCCGCGCGCCUACAAGCGGUCGGAGCCACGCGAUGUGGUGACGGCGUGCCUUUUGCAUAAUGAGCCUACGAGUUAGUCGUCACUGGCGAGGUUAAGGGUCUGGAGACCCGUGAGCCGAAGCGAAAGCGAGUCUUAAUAGGGCGCAAAGUCAGUGGCGCUAGACGCGAAACCUUGUGAUCUACCCUUGUCCAGGUUGAAGGAUGGGUAACACCAUCUGGAGGAUCGAACCGGUAAACGUUGAAAAGUUUUCGGAUGAGGCGAGGGUAGGGGUGAAAGGCCAAUCAAACUGGGAAAUAGCUCGUACUCUCCGAAAUGCAUUUAGGUGCAGCCUGUCGAGUUUCGUUACCGAGGUAGAGCUACUGAUUGGACGCGAGGGCUUCACCGCCUAUCAAAUCCGGCCAAACUCCGAAUGCGGUAACUUCAAAUCGAUGGAGCGAGCCCGCGGGUGCUAAGGUCCGCGGACGAGAGGGGAAUAACCCGGACUAUCAGCUAAGGUCCCGAAUUGACGUUUAAGUUGAAUAAACGAGGUGGGAUCGCCUAGACAGCUAGGAUGUUGGCUUGGAAGCAGCCAUUCAUUUAAAGAGUGCGUAACAGCUCACUAGUCGAGCGCUCCCGCGUGGAUAAUACACGGGCAUGAAAACGUCAACCGAAGCUAUAGGAUGUACUUGAAUGGUACGUCGGUAGGAGAGCAUUCCUGUCAGCGUCGAAGCGAUAUCGCGAGGUGUCGUGGAGCGUCAGGAAAAGCAAAUGUAGGCAUAAGUAACGAUAAUGGAGGCGAGAACCCUCCACGCCGCAAGACCAAGGCUUCCCCGGCAAUGUCAAUCACCCGGGGGUCAGUCGGGCCCUAAGGCUAACCCGAAGGGGGAUGCCGAUGGCGAACGGGUUAAUAUUCCCGUACUUCUUCACGUCGUGACGCGGUGACGGGGCGAUGACAGGGUCGCGUGCGGACGGAAUGGCACGUUGAAGCCCGUACCCUUCGAGGCCGGUAGUUAAGCACGCCGGCCGAGGCGAAAGGCGAUAGUACCGCGAGAUUUCGGUCGAGCGGAUAGUACCCGUAAUUUCACCCCCAAGAAAACCCGCUAAACUUCAAGCGUGAAGGACCCGUACCGUAAACGGACACACGUGGUCGGGUAGAGUAUACCAAGGCGCUCGAGUGAAUCGUGGCCAAGGAACUAGGCACAAUGGUCCUGUAACCUCGGGAUAAAGGACGCUCUAGUGAUAGAGCCGCAGAGAAAUGGCCCAGGCGACUGUUUACCAAAAACACAUGGCUAUGCUAAAUCGCGAGAUGACGUAUAUGGCCUGACACCUGCCCGGUGCCGGAAGGUUAAGAGGAGGGGUUAGAGUGAUCGACGCCCCUAAUUGAAGCCCCGGUAAACGGCGGCCGUAACUAUAACGGUCCUAAGGUAGCGAAAUUCCUUGUCGGGUAAGUUCCGACCUGCACGAAUGGUGUAACGAUCUGGGCACUGUCUCGGCCACGAGCUCGGUGAAAUUGUAGUUCCGGUGAAGAUGCCGGGUACCCGCGACGGGACGGAAAGACCCCGUGAACCUUUACUGCAGCUUCGCGUUGUUCCCGGGCACGGGACGUGUAGGAUAGGUCGGAGACAUAGAAGUGGUUUCGUCAGGAAUCAUGGAGUCAUCGUUGAAAUACGACCCUUCCCUUGUCUGGGAUCUAAUCUAGUGAUAGAGACACCGCGUGGUGGGUAGUUUGACUGGGGUGGUCGCCUCCAAAAGCGUAACGGAGGCUUCCAAAGGUACCCUCAACUUGUUCGGUAAUCAAGUGUAGAGUGCAAUGGCACAAGGGUGCUUGACAGGGAGACACACGAGUCGAUCUGGCGCGAAAGCGGGGCAUAGUGAUCCGGUGGUUCCAGUGUGGAAUGGCCAUCGCUCAAAGGAUAAAAGGUACUCCGGGGAUAACAGGCUGAUCGCCCCCAAGAGCUCAUAUCGACGGGGCGGUUUGGCACCUCGAUGUCGGCUCGUCACAUCCUGGGGCUGGAGAAGGUCCCAAGGGUUCGGCUGUUCGCCGAUUAAAGUGGCACGCGAGCUGGGUUCAGAACGUCGUGAGACAGUUCGGUCCCUAUCUGUCGUGGGCGUUGGAGAUUCGCGAGGUCCUGACUCUAGUACGAGAGGACCGGGUUGGACGCGCCUCUAGUGAACCGGUUAUGACGCCAGUCGUACGGCCGGGUAGCCACGCGCGGAUCGGAUAAGCGCUGAAAGCAUCUAAGCGCGAAGCCGGCCUCAAGAUGAGAUCUCCAUUUAGGGUCGUUGUAGACGACGACGUUGAUAGGCCGCAGGUGUACAGCCGGUGACGGCAUAGCCGAGCGGUACUAAUCACCCGAUAUACUCUGUUG